RNAcentral lists this ribosomal RNA (468 nucleotides) under uncultured bacterium. RNAcentral describes it as "partial 16S ribosomal RNA". It matches the Rfam family "Bacterial small subunit ribosomal RNA", at positions 28 to 507 of the family's 1533-position model. The record is from RNAcentral.
GACGAACGCUGGCGGCGUGCUUAACACAUGCAAGUCGAACGGAAAGGCCCUGCUUUUGUGGGUUGCUCGAGUGGCGAACGGGUGAGUAACACGUGAGUAACCUGCCCUUGACUUUGGGAUAACUUCAGGAAACUGGGGCUAAUACCGGAUAGGAGCUCCUGCUGCAUGGUGGGGGUUGGAAAGUUUCGGCGGUUGGGGAUGGACUCGCGGCUUAGCAGCUUGUUGGUGGGGUAGUGGCUUACCAAGGCUUUGACGGGUAGCCGGCCUGAGAGGGUGACCGGACACAUUAGGACUGAGAGACGGCCCAGAAUCCUACGGGAGGCAGCAGUGGGGAAUAUUGCACAGUGGGCGGAAGCCUGAUGCAGCAACGCCGCGUGCGGGAUGACGGCCUUCGGGUUGUAAACCACUGUCGCCUGUGACGAAGCGUGAGUGACGGUAAUGGGUAAAGAAGCACCGGCUAACUACGUG